This 89-nucleotide non-coding RNA is filed under the name Pseudohaemophilus sputorum. RNAcentral describes it as "Haemophilus sputorum TPP sequence". It matches the Rfam family "TPP riboswitch aptamer (THI element)". Rfam says of the family: Vitamin B(1) in its active form thiamin pyrophosphate (TPP) is an essential coenzyme that is synthesised by coupling of pyrimidine and thiazole moieties in bacteria. The previously detected thiamin-regulatory element, thi box was extended, resulting in a new, highly conserved RNA secondary structure, the THI element, which is widely distributed in eubacteria and also occurs in some archaea. Analysis of operon structures identified a large number of new candidate thiamin-regulated genes, mostly transporters, in various prokaryotic organisms. Lineage: Bacteria; Pseudomonadati; Pseudomonadota; Gammaproteobacteria; Pasteurellales; Pasteurellaceae. The record is from RNAcentral.
UGCCAUAAGUCGGGGUGCCGAAAGGCUGAGAUAAUACCCGUGAACCUGAUUCAGUUAGUACUGACGUAGGAAACUUACACCUUAUUUUC